AAUAAAGUGCCUGACCAAAGGGUUAUCUUGAUAGGAUAAAUCAUGUAUUUAAUACCUUUAUUA
This 63-nucleotide transfer RNA is filed under the name Alectorobius cerradoensis. Its description in RNAcentral is "tRNA-Ile". Lineage: Eukaryota; Metazoa; Arthropoda; Arachnida; Ixodida; Argasidae. The record is from RNAcentral.